This 45-nucleotide non-coding RNA is filed under the name Schistosoma haematobium. Lineage: Eukaryota; Metazoa; Platyhelminthes; Trematoda; Strigeidida; Schistosomatidae. The record is from RNAcentral.
AUCUUGUUGACGAGUCCGAAACAGGGCGAAACGCGCGUCCUGGAC